CUUUUAUAUAGUGUCGUUUUGUCGCUCAAUCCAAGAGGCCUUUGCCCUCCAUGACUGUAAAACUUGGAGCAGGGGAAUGGCACUGAGGGUGAAGAUUGAGAGAGAAACGGACUCGAUGGCCUCCAACCAUCCCCUUGAGAGACGAUGAAAGAAGAGGAGGACUGGGGUACCCCCAGACCUUCCUAUUGGUCCUAGGACAUAAGUUGCCCCCUGCUCUGGGGUGUCACCCUCACACCGGUGGUCUAAGUUAGAUUAGCAGAACAGGUAACCCAGCUAGUACCUAUCAAGGUGACCGAAGAAGGUAUCUCUACUUAGGACGCUGGUGGCUCGUCCCUUGUUGAGGAUUUGCCCAUGUUUGUGGAGCUGAGAGACCCUUCACGAGAUCAUCCCAUCACACCGGGCGGUUGUUCAAGCCGUGUAAGGGAAACCAUGCCUCCCCCAGAAAGGAUGACCCCUUAUAGCCCAUCCCCUAUGGGUCAUGUCUCCAUGAUGCGAGUAUUUAUAGCUGAAGAGGUAGCAUAGAUUGAGGCAGCUGAGGUCAGGGGCGAUUGUGUGGCUUUAGAAAUGCAGAACUGGCUAAGGAUCGUGCCUUUCGACUAGUGAUCUAUUUCAGAGAUGAAUUCAUAGUUGGUGUUUGGACUCGGAUGUACUGCUUUCCUGAGGACCGUCUAAGCUUGGGUAACAUGCCGGCACACAUGUUAUGCCAAAAGUGGAGGGUGACUCUCCCCCAGGUUUUUGUGCGUGUCACUGAAGCAUACUAUCGGGUGGAGAAGUUGUUAGACACAGCGGAGACCUUUCAUGCUUCCCUUGCAGUGAAGAAUGAGAAGAUCGCUUUUUGACCGAGCAGUUAAACAUCUUGUCAACUGGGAUGGUAUCCGCUCGAUCGAACAAGAAUGGAUGACCAUUCUUGAAGCCCAGAUUCCAAUGGUAGUAGAAGCUCAUAGGGCUAAGCAAUUCUGGUGAUCAGAUAGAGAGAGUUACUCGAUCGCCUUACAAGUGUUCAGUCAGAUUUAGACUCUACUAAAGCUCAUUUCCAAGAAGGAGAUGCCACCUUACAGUGCGAAUGUGCAAUGAGGGAAGAAAUCAAGCAACGGGUGCCCUGUUCGAAAGUCGAUUUUAGGUCCUUGCAGGACCAAUAGUCUGUCAGGCAAGGUGAAGUGGGUGGAGGCAUCAGGACUUGAAUGCCUGUGUAUAUAUUGUUUUUUCUUUUUUUAUAAACCUUCCUUAAAUGACUGAUAUUUCUUCUA
Macadamia integrifolia is the source of this 1247-nucleotide long non-coding RNA. RefSeq lists it as uncharacterized. The transcript is spliced from 2 exons. Lineage: Eukaryota; Viridiplantae; Streptophyta; Magnoliopsida; Proteales; Proteaceae. The record is from RefSeq and is a predicted model, not a curated record.